Molecule: long non-coding RNA, 778 nt
Filed under: Panax ginseng (ginseng)
Lineage: Eukaryota; Viridiplantae; Streptophyta; Magnoliopsida; Apiales; Araliaceae
Description: long non-coding RNA (PGIN_LNC014401)
Source: RNAcentral
CCAAAUCCAUAUAAUACUGAGCAUGUCCAGAAAAUCUACAGGGAGCUAGCUAGCUAGCUAUGGGUAAAAUGAAACAUAAUUAAUCUAUUCCUUCUAUGAGCUAAGAAUUAUCAGUUUUUGAGUUUAAUUAACUAUUAAUUUCUAUCACUUAUGAAUCUUCAAGAUCACUAGUGUAACAUCAAACAUGUAUAGAUCUAAUACUUGAAAGUUGUUAUACUUUAAAUUGCCAUCUAUUUCAACCAAGGAAUAAGGAUCAUCGAAUUAAUUACUAAUAGAUGUAGAAGAUGGUAAGAUCGCAAAUUAAGAUUAAGUUUAUCUACAACCCAGUAAUUAAUUUAAGAUAGAAGCUAGAAAACCCUAAUUACUUGAUCGAAGAUCAGGCAUACCUGAUUAGAUCAUGAUCAUUGAUAGAUCUAUCUAGCUUCUUUAUAUAUAUAUAUAUAUAUAUAUAUAUAUAUAUAUAUAUAUAUAUAUAUAUAUAUGUUGUGUGGGUGCAGCAGGUGAUCUGGUUUGAGGUACCUUGUGGGAAUAAUAAUAGUAAUGAUGGCUGUGAAGAAAAUAAUAAGGUGAUGGCUGGUGAAGCAACCAGGUAUCAUGAUUAUCACUAGCUAGCUCUUCGCUUCUGCCUUUGAAACACAAUGAUUUCAGUGCACUAGUCUAGUACGUAUCUCUCUCUCUCUCGUCAGAGGGUUUCUUGGUUCUCUGAUGAGAGAGAGAGAAGAUUUAGUGGAAAGUAUUAUUACUAGCUACUCCAUCAUCAAACUCAAGACUCCUUUAC